GUUUUUAUAGUGUAAUCAAACACGCUACAUUUUCGUUGUAGAGCUGAAAAACUUUUUCUAAAAACU
RNAcentral lists this transfer RNA (66 nucleotides) under Cleistostoma dilatatum. RNAcentral describes it as "tRNA-Glu". The record is from RNAcentral. Lineage: Eukaryota; Metazoa; Arthropoda; Malacostraca; Decapoda; Camptandriidae.